Molecule: ribosomal RNA, 371 nt
Filed under: Paroedura picta
Lineage: Eukaryota; Metazoa; Chordata; Lepidosauria; Squamata; Gekkonidae
Description: partial 12S ribosomal RNA
Source: RNAcentral
CAUUAACCCAGGCAAAAUUUCACAUCUUGCCCGCCAGAUUAUUACGAGCCAAAACUUAAAACUCAAAGGACUUGACGGUGUUGCAAGCCUGUCUAGAGGAGCCUGUCUAAUAAUCGAUACCCCACGCUCCACCUCACCCCCCCUAGCACUAGCCGCCUAUAUACCGCCGUCACCCUCGCCCACCUUUUGAAAGCACAACCGUGGGCUAAACAGCCAAACCACUAGCACAUCAGGUCAAGGUGUAGCUGAUGGGGGGGAACAAAAGAUGGGCUACACUUUCUACGAAAGAUCACCACAAACCAAAUGAAAAUGUGUUGGAAGCUGGAUUUAGCAGUAAAUUUAACAAGAAAGUUAAAUUGAAACACGCACUG